This 253-nucleotide ribosomal RNA is filed under the name uncultured bacterium. RNAcentral's name for it is "partial 16S ribosomal RNA". It matches the Rfam family "Bacterial small subunit ribosomal RNA", at positions 524 to 776 of the family's 1533-position model. The record is from RNAcentral.
UACGGGGGGGGCGAGCGUUGUCCGAAGUUACUGGGCGUAAAGCGCGUGUAGGCGGGUUGUUAAGUCCGCUGUGAAAGCCCGGUGCUCAACGCCGGAGGGUCGGUGGAUACUGGCAGUCUUGAAGUGGCUAGGGGGAAAUGGAAUUACCGGUGUAGCGGUGAAAUGCGUAGAUAUCGGUAGGAACACCAGUGGCGAAGGCGGUUUCCUGGAGCCCACUUGACGCUGAGACGCGAAAGCGUGGGGAGCAAACAGG